Molecule: ribosomal RNA, 96 nt
Filed under: Terrisporobacter glycolicus
Lineage: Bacteria; Bacillati; Bacillota; Clostridia; Peptostreptococcales; Peptostreptococcaceae
Description: partial 16S ribosomal RNA
Rfam family: Bacterial small subunit ribosomal RNA
Source: RNAcentral
UUUUAUGAGAGUUUGAUCCUGGCUCAGGAUGAACGCUGGCGGCGUGCCUAACACAUGCAAGUCGAGCGAUUUACUUCGGUAAAGAGCGGCGGACGG